UACGGAGGGAGCUAGCGUUGUUCGGAAUUACUGGGCGUAAAGCGCACGUAGGCGGCUUUUUAAGUCAGGGGUGAAAUCCCGGGGCUCAACCCCGGAACUGCCUUUGAUACUGGUAUCUGGAGGUCGAGAGAGGCGAGUGGAAUUCCGAGUGUAGAGGUGAAAUUCGUAGAUAUUCGGAGGAACACCAGUGGCGAAGGCGGCUCGCUGGCUCGAUACUGACGCUGAGGUGCGAAAGCGUGGGGAGCAAACAGG
RNAcentral lists this ribosomal RNA (252 nucleotides) under uncultured bacterium. Its description in RNAcentral is "partial 16S ribosomal RNA". It matches the Rfam family "Bacterial small subunit ribosomal RNA", at positions 524 to 776 of the family's 1533-position model. The record is from RNAcentral.